UUUAAAAUUUCUUGUUCACUAAACCCAUCAAUGUUCCAUACAUAAAUUUUAUUAGAUGAAACGGAGAACUGUUUAUCUAGAUUCCUCUCUUCGAACUGUAAAUCCAGAGGAGUGGGUCUAGAAUACCAAUUCCUAGUUAUACUGGUGUUUUUGACAGUUAACUUUUUUAGCUGAUCAUUGAAAUUUGGUAUUGAAUCAGUGUCAGAUAUGUCUGAAUCACUACUGCUUUUAUUAUCAGUUUCAGCUUGAUCAAUAGUGGCAAUUGUACCACUCGUACCAGGUUCAUUUUUUAGUUUUUUGAAUAACUUAUCAAUGGUUUUAACUAAAUUAUCAUCAUCAGAUGGUAAACCUAAUUUAUAUCUAUUUUCCGGUAAUUUUAUUAAAGGAUGUUCAAUUUUUGAAUCAGGUUUUUUAAUAAUAGACUCUUCAAAUUUUUCUUCUAUCCUAUCUAGCUGUUUUCCUACAGUUGCUAGAUAUUGAUUACUGAAGUUUAAUUGUUCUAUAAUUUUCUUAUCAUUAUUACUAGCAUCAGAAAUUUUGAAUGGACUGGCUACAACUGAAGUAUUUUUAACUGAAAUUAGAACAGUUUCUAAAGGAGGAUGACUGGAAGAAACUCUUGAUUUAUCUUCUUU
RNAcentral lists this long non-coding RNA (632 nucleotides) under Panax ginseng (ginseng). Its description in RNAcentral is "long non-coding RNA (PGIN_LNC001458)". Lineage: Eukaryota; Viridiplantae; Streptophyta; Magnoliopsida; Apiales; Araliaceae. The record is from RNAcentral.